RNAcentral lists this ribosomal RNA (203 nucleotides) under uncultured Leptolinea sp. RNAcentral's name for it is "partial 16S ribosomal RNA". It matches the Rfam family "Bacterial small subunit ribosomal RNA", at positions 1180 to 1382 of the family's 1533-position model. The record is from RNAcentral. Lineage: Bacteria; Bacillati; Chloroflexota; Anaerolineae; Anaerolineales; Anaerolineaceae.
GGAUGUCAAGUCAGCAUGGCCUUUAUAUCCUGGGCUACACACACGCUACAAUGGCAGAUACAAUAGGUUGCGAAACCGCGAGGUGGAGCCAAUCCUCAAAGUCUGUCUCAGUUCAGAUUGUAGGCUGCAACUCGCCUGCAUGAAGUUGGAGUUGCUAGUAAACGCAGGUCAGCUAUACUGCGUUGAAUACGUUCCCGGGGUUU